UUCACAAGGCCUUUUAUAUCUUCUUGAUCUCUCCAUUUGUUUUCCCGGCAAUUGGCAUGAGCCCUGUAGCUCCCAGCAGUUCUGCAAGGACUCAGCCCGACAGCCUUCUGGGACUUCCCUGAUUACUAUUCUUCCGUGCUGUCACCAUCGACUGUUCCUCUCACGCCACUCUGAGCUCUGAUGAAGCCAUGAAGACACCCAUCUCCUGCUCUAAGUCUACCUGCAGGUCUGCCGGGACUAAGCAGUUCUUCCAGGAGCCAGCAGGCUUGGGGGUCUGCAGCCAGAUCCCUGUGGCUAUCUCAUUCCCUGUGAGGGGCUGCCCCUUGGAUCAGGACUCUAAACAGUGACUCCGAGAGUUGCUAUUUUCAAGAUAGGGAGAACAGUGGAAAAUCAGACUGCAGGCCCAGGCUGUUGGCACCUGAAAUUCUCUCCCUCCCUGGAUCUACUAUUUCAGCAACAAGGACAGUGAGCUAAUGCAAAUCUAACCAGCUUUCUCCCCACUUAGCCCUCGGGACAAGCAGGAUGGACUGUACCCCCUCUUUGGGGACAGGAAGUGGGCAGUUAUAAGAAUUCAGCUCCAUCAUAAAUGAAGAAAGAAUCCCAAGGCAUACUUCAGUGGUCAUUUCCAAAUAAAAUCGAUUUCGUUUGACUAUGUCCUUAAAAGAGGGGAAGUGAGAACCACCCCAGUGUUGGCAACAGGGAGUUGCUUUACAGAACAAGAUCUAAUCAUCUUCCUUGAACUCGGGCGAGCCACAUUUCCUAGGCCACACUUUAGAUGCUUCAGCCAGCAGACUUCUUACAAAUGAGGAGGGUCGUCUGAACUGAAGAAUAACUCGUUGGAGCAGGAACACUGAGUUCAGGGUGGACCUCCCCAGACAUGGCUGUGUGGGUUGGAGUAAGGAAGAGAAUCAGAAAAGAAAGUCCUGCUGGUGCUUCAGAGCAGAUCCACCAGGCCCUGGUCCAGCCUUUGUUAUCAUUUGCACACAGGAGACAGUGAUGUUGAGUUCUUGGAUGAGCACUGGGGGCCUAUGGGAAAAUAUUGCCAGUAUCAUGGAGAUCAAAAACACAAUGCUGUAGAUAAGAAGGGCAGGGUGACUGCAGAGUCCUCAGAUUCAAACUAUCUGCAGCUGGCAAAGAGCUCCUCUCAGAGUCCGCAGGAAGCAAAUAGUCCGCUGCUGUGGACCAUCUGAAUCAGUCCCACAUUCUACACCUGCAACCAAAACAAAAUUUUACUAGAGAGCCUUCAUAGUCUAGAGUGAAUAACAUGCUCCCUCUUCAACCAAUCAGCAAGAACACGAAAGUCAUUGGCAUUGGUGUUGUGACUUGACCAGCAAAGGGUUAGGAAAGUGCAGCAAAUGCAGAGCAUUGUGGGAAAGACAGGCUCACAUGUGCUGUAGCAAACCAGGGCAAUGCAGGUGGGCACUGAUUCUGGAAAACACAGAGGCCCAAAGGAACAUUGCACAACUCCUCAGGGCACAGCCCUCCACGGAACAGGACUGGAAGGCUGUCUGGGAGAAGCCUAGAUAAGAUAAGAAUAAAAAGAAGAUGAUGUAAGGCACAAAUUCUAUGUUUAUGUGAUGUUUUAUUAAUCUAUUAAUAUAAAUAUUGUAUUUGGAUUAUAAUAAAAGGAUGAACUAAAGAAAAUAAAUGUUAUCUAAGGAAAUACCACUUGUCUCGCUCAUAUCCAGGUUCUAGUCUGGAACACAUACAUGCACAGGUGUGAAUGAAUGUAAAGGCUAAAGAUGUAGAAGGGAGGCCAGGAGAGUGGAAUAUUAGUUGAUGAGGAAGGAUGGUGUUUUGUUUAAAAACCCAUGAGCUGUGAAGAAGCACAUGCUUCCCCACUCUAGUUUCAACUCCGUCACCAUCACCAUUGUCCCACCCCACCUACAGAGAUACAUGAAUUAAAGUAGCAAGAACCACUUUUGCAUUCAAAAAGAAUCCAACGCAUAUUACUCUUAGGAACAGUGAUUGUGAAAAUGG
Meriones unguiculatus (Mongolian gerbil) is the source of this 1980-nucleotide long non-coding RNA. RefSeq lists it as uncharacterized. The record is from RefSeq and is a predicted model, not a curated record. Lineage: Eukaryota; Metazoa; Chordata; Mammalia; Rodentia; Muridae. The transcript has 8 exons.